CUCUCCCUGACAGCUGGAACAAGGCCAGUUCUGAGCCUCCCAGGAACGCAGGCAGACAGACUUCACGCUAUGCAGUUGCGCAACACUCAAGCCAUGGCUCCAGCCCAGGGCCCGGACGGUCACAGCUGCUGCCUUCUAUAAGUGUUUUGUCUGCAUGCAUGUGUGUGCACUGUGUGCAUGCCUGGUCCCUACAGAGGCCGGAAGAGGGCAUUAUAUUCCUGGAACUGAAGUUAUAGAUGGUUGGAAGCUACCAGGCCCUGAGACGCAAGGAUGAAACAUGCAUGGCUCCUGCUCUCAGCUUGCGUACAAGUAAGAGAAUAUUCUACCCCCACCACGCAUCAAGGCACAGGAAGCCACUGUGAUUUCUUCUUUCUGGUUUGGAGCUGACCUGUUGCAUUUUGAAUCACCAGUCACUUGGCAGGAGAGAAGAUAGACUUUGGGCCAGUGGUAAAACUGGAGAGGCAAAUACAGGGUUUCUGCAUUUAUGUACAGAAGUAGGAAUCUAAUCUUUAAUUUCCUCAUUUUUAAGUUCUUUUGACAUUGAAAGUUGAUUGUGUUAGUGUUUGUAACUUAAAUAAGAUCUGUAGUUCAAUCUGUACAUGAAAGAGAGAGCAGAAUCACGUGAGUUCAUUCUGAGGACUGUCGGUAGGUCAGUGUAACUGCUGCUUAGACAUUUAGAGGGCAUCUAUCGCUCAGACACUUCUCAUAGCAUGGCCUCCGUGCACUGGGGAUCCCGUCAGCUUCUGCGAUAACACCUUCUAAUUUCAGGGGCUUAAACUAGAACUAGUUCAGAACCAGUGCAGUGAAGAAGAAGUCAGCUGGCUUCAGGCGUACCUAUGGCUCUGGUCAACAGCAGGCCUUUACGUUUGUGGUCUAGACAAGUGUCUGUCCUAAACUAACCAUUGCUAGGCCAACAGCCUUGUACAUUUUGUCAGAAGCCCUUAGGAGACAGACUCUUCCUUUAACCCAGCAAAAUUUCUACCUCUAAUUUCAGAGUAGGAUCCUCUGUGAGUCACAGAUGGAGGACCAUUUGGUCAGCGUCCUCACUGUGGUAAAUAUUCAUGAGUCAAAACAUAAUUACUAGGCCACGGUUCGGUAACCUCUUUUCCAGGUGAGAAACCUCCACUCUGGUUUUUCCUCUCAAGUCCUAGUUUAUAGCACUUUGUGUGGCCGAGUCUCCCCCAUUUCCAUUGUGUUGUCAGGUUUCAGAGCCUGGAGCAUACAUCAAUUGUCAGGCUCCUUAAAAUUUUUCUUAAAGUCACAAGAACACAAACUGCCAAUGCCAGAAAGCGGAGGGGUCCUGGGUUUAAACAGUUUCUAAAAUGCAAGUCAAGUUGGGUGGUAGAAUGGAGGGGCAGAUGACAGUGCUGAGGUGGAACUCACAAGUAUAGAAAGAGGUUGGAAUCUGGGAGGAAAAGUAGUAACUUUAAUUAUAAACAGGAGGAAAGAACUGAUGUGAGCUGCAAAUGAGAGGAAUAUUUCGUUUUCUUCAGGGGGAUACCCAUUGAUAGGUUAGCCAAUCCCAGUGGCCAUCCCUAACAGAUAUACAUAGGAGCAACACCAAAGCAGCCAAGCAGGCUGUAUUCCUAAAGCAUCCACCUCUAGAUAAGUAAAAGUAAUUAAAAAGAGUAAUGAAUUUUAGGUGAUUGCAGGGACACUGGAGAAGUUGGAGCAGGGAGAAGGAGGGGUAGAAAUGAUAUAACUAUAGUACACAGGUAUAACAUUUGGAAAUUGUCAUCUCCUAGAAGCCUGUUCUUUACUAAAGAGACAGAAAAGAAGUGGAACUGGGAAGGGGAAGGGAAGAAAGACAGGGACUGGGAAGAGUAGA
Molecule: long non-coding RNA, 1828 nt
Organism: Meriones unguiculatus (Mongolian gerbil)
Lineage: Eukaryota; Metazoa; Chordata; Mammalia; Rodentia; Muridae
Exons: 4
Source: RefSeq, a predicted model, not a curated record